UACAGAGGGUGCAAGCGUUAAUCGGAAUUACUGGGCGUAAAGCGUGCGUAGACGGUUAUGUAAGUCGGGUGUGAAAGCCCCGGGCUCAACCUGGGAACUGCAUUUGUGACUGUAGAGCUGGAGUACGGCAGAGGGGGAUGGAAUUCCGCGUGUAGCAGUGAAAUGCGUAGAUAUGCGGAGGAACACCGAUGGCGAAGGCAAUCCCCUGGGCCUGUACUGACGCUCAUGCACGAAAGCGUGGGGAGCAAACAGG
This 253-nucleotide ribosomal RNA is filed under the name uncultured prokaryote. RNAcentral's name for it is "partial 16S ribosomal RNA". It matches the Rfam family "Bacterial small subunit ribosomal RNA", at positions 524 to 776 of the family's 1533-position model. The record is from RNAcentral.